ACGAACGCUGGCGGCGUGCCUAAUACAUGCCAGUCGAGCGGACUGAUUAAGAGCUUGCUCUUAUGACGUUAGCGGCGGACGGGUGAGUAACACGUGGGCAACCUGCCCUGUAGAUCGGGAUAACACCGAGAAAUCGGUGCUAAUACCGGGUAAUAUCUGAGAUCACAUGAUCUUAGGUUAAAAGAUGGCUCCGGCUAUCACUACAGGAUGGGCCCGCGGCGCAUUAGCUAGUUGGUAAGGUAAUGGCUUACCAAGGCGACGAUGCGUAGCCGACCUGAGAGGGUGAUCGGCCACACUGGGACUGAGACACGGCCCAGACUCCUACGGGAGGCAGCAGUAGGGAAUCUUCCGCAAUGGACGAAAGUCUGACGGAGCAACGCCGCGUGAGUGAUGAAGGGGUUCGGCUCGUAAAGCUCUGUUGUUAGGGAAGAAACAGUACCGAACGAACUAGGUCGGUACCUUGACGGUACCUAACCAGAAAGCCACGGCUAACUACGUG
Molecule: ribosomal RNA, 499 nt
Filed under: uncultured bacterium
Lineage: Bacteria
Description: partial 16S ribosomal RNA
Rfam family: Bacterial small subunit ribosomal RNA
Source: RNAcentral